CUGCAUAGGGUGUGACUAUCAGGAACCAUGGCUCACUGGAGCACCAUCUUUGGAGUCUAGCUAACACAGCAUCUUGGAUGCACUCCUAAGAGAAGACUACCUGAAAGGCGUGUACACUGGUCUAGCAGUUGAGAUCAGCUAGUGUUCCAUCUAUCUUCUGUCAUGUAUCUCUUCUAAGAUGUCUUGAUCGACUGACCCCAAAGCCAGAGGGUACCAGGUCAAAAAGCAAGAAAACAAACAAUACUGACAUUAGAGAGAAGCAAAGUUUCUAUAGAAAACCUAUUACACUGUGGUAUAAAUCAAGAUGAACCUGCAGACAUCUAUUUUAGUUUGGAAGUCUGGAAAAGUUCAAGAUUGGCCAUCUGCAGCUGGUGAGAGCCUCAGGCUGCUUCCCCUCAUGGUGGAAGGUGAAGGGGAGCUGGUGUGUGCAGAGAUUACAUGCUUUUCUAGGUCAUCAUUCUAGGCUUUGUUGAAGCAUGCAUUUUUGGCAUGAGGGUGGCAGCCUUUGCACUAUGUGCAUGGCUGAGGAGUUAGGAUCUGGAGGGUGAUGAAAGCAAAGGUGCUGCUGGUUACUCUUGGUUCAUCUAGCAAUAGAUGAUCUGAAUGUUAGAGUUCGCCAAAUAUUGUUCCUGGGCAGUCUUUGCUCUACCAAAUCAACUUUCUCCAUGGGGGAGCUAGAAGUCACCCCACAUUCUCCGCCAUGGCCAGCUCUACAUUCUAAGAGAUGACAAAGACACAAGGAGCCAAGACAGAUCAUUCAAGCAUAUUCAUUGCCUCUAUCUUCAUCCCAUUAAAUAACAUCCCGCCAACCAAAGCAAGUUAUCUGCAUAAGAAUAAAUAUUCCACCUACUCUACUGCAAGGCCCUGCAAGAGUCAUGAGACAAAAGGAUCCUCUGUGGACAGCACCCAAGAUGGAAACAACUGACAGUCUAUGGCCAGGGCUAUACUCUGGUGAAACUGAAAGGUGUCUGCAUGGAAGUGUCUGACUACCACCAUCCACUCAGGCAAAUGCAUUUGUUUCCCUCUAUUCAUUAUUAGAAGAGAGGAGAUUACAUACCAGACAUAUACCAAUAGGUUUUCUCUUCAUAAUACCUACGUCAUCUAGUAGCAUAACAUAAGGCAGAAUCCUUCAAAGGUUGACUCCUAGAGAUGGAAGAGCUGUAAGCAGAGACAGAAAAGUAUGUUUUCACACAAACUCUUUGGCUCAUUAGCAG
RNAcentral lists this long non-coding RNA (1214 nucleotides) under Homo sapiens (human). RNAcentral describes it as "HSALNT0322134". The record is from RNAcentral. Lineage: Eukaryota; Metazoa; Chordata; Mammalia; Primates; Hominidae.